CCUACGGGUGACAGCAGUGGGGAAUAUUGGACAAUGGGGGGAACCCUGAUCCAGCGACGCCGCGUGAGUGAAGAAGUAUUUCGGUAUGUAAAGCUCUAUCAGCAGGGAAGAAAGGAAUGACGGUACCUGACUAAGAAGCCCCGGCUAACUACGUGCCAGCAGCCGCGGUAAUACGUAGGGGGCAAGCGUUAUCCGGAUUUACUGGGUGUAAAGGGAGCGUAGACGGUUACGCAAGUCUGGAGUGAAAGCCCGGGGCCCACCCCCGGGACUGCUCUUGGAACUGCAUGGCUGGAGUACAGGAGGGGCAGGCGGAAUUCCUAGUGUAGCGGUGAAAUGCGUAGAUAUUAGGAGGAACACCGGUGGCGAAGGCGGCCUGCUGGACUGUGACUGACGUUGAGGCCCGAAGGCGUGGGGAGCAAACAGGAUUAGAUACCCCGGUAGUC
This 443-nucleotide ribosomal RNA is filed under the name uncultured bacterium. Its description in RNAcentral is "partial 16S ribosomal RNA". It matches the Rfam family "Bacterial small subunit ribosomal RNA", at positions 338 to 795 of the family's 1533-position model. The record is from RNAcentral.